CUGGUUUGGUUGCCUGGGUUCCUGGAGGCUCUGGCUGUGCCUACCAGCUUUAACCUGGGUUACCCACAGCCGAGGAUACAGACAGGGAACCUCUCAAACAGGCAUAGGAAUCAAGAUCACAGAGAUGAUCAGGAGGCCUGGGAUCAGAGCUGUGAUUUAUUAAUUGCCUCUGAGGCGUGAGGCUCAUGCAGUGCUCUGUAUCUGCCUGUGGUAUACACAGUGAUGAGCCACCUGGGGCCUCCUUCAAGCUGCCGAUACAGCUGCCAGGAUUCCUGCUGAAAGAUGCCCUUCUGUACAAGGCCAUGCCCUUCCCUGAGUGAAGGACACCAGUGACUGAUCAAGGUGUGUCUGUAAGAACUGGCCAAUUUCAGCACAAUUCAGGACUUCUCUGACAGAGCAUUUCAGCUCUCAGGCUCUCCUGAGGUCAUCCUAGGCUGCCCUGACCUACAAAGCAGUCUGACUUCUACCUCUAUCCCAUGUGCCCCUUUCUCUUUGGUAGAUAUUUUCCCAAACACUGCCUUUUAUCAACAUCCUACAUGUGAAACUCUGCCCUCCUCUGCUUCUGGAAGAACCCAGCCUGUGACAGGGAUGAUGGGAUGAUCUCUUCCUUUAACCUCUGAGGAAUGUCGAGGAAGAACUGAGAAGCAAGAAGAGCAGGGCAGGAGUACUUCCCAAGUUCUCGACAGUGUUUUGUGUUAGCAUUCAGGCAUCUGUCCUGGCAGCCACUAAGAGCAUCCCCUGUGCUCAGUUGCUACCUUCCCUCAGUUCCCUUAAAUGGCAGCCUUGCCCACCUCCCGUCUCUUUCUGUCCCACUGCUCUUGUCCCCAGGGACCUGUCUCUGCUCCCUUCUCUGCCUCGUCUCUCUCCUCUUCCAAUAAACCUCCCACGUGA
Long non-coding RNA from Peromyscus californicus insignis, 891 nucleotides. RefSeq lists it as uncharacterized. The transcript is spliced from 2 exons. The record is from RefSeq and is a predicted model, not a curated record. Lineage: Eukaryota; Metazoa; Chordata; Mammalia; Rodentia; Cricetidae.